This 446-nucleotide ribosomal RNA is filed under the name uncultured bacterium. RNAcentral's name for it is "bacterial SSU rRNA". It matches the Rfam family "Bacterial small subunit ribosomal RNA", at positions 28 to 482 of the family's 1533-position model. The record is from RNAcentral.
GACGAACGCUGGCGGCGUGCUUAACACAUGCAAGUCGAGCGGAAAGGCCCUUUCGGGGGUACUCGAGCGGCGAACGGGUGAGUAACACGUGAGUAAUCUGCCCUUGGCUUUGGGAUAACUACCGGAAACGGUGGCUAAUACCGGAUAUGACCAUGCUCGGCAUCGGGUGUGGUGGAAAGUUUUUUCGGCCAGGGAUGUGCUCGCGGCCUAUCAGCUUGUUGGUGGGUAAUGGCCUACCAAGGCUUCGACGGGUAGCCGGCCUGAGAGGGUGACCGGCCACACUGGGACUGAGACACGGCCCAGACUCCUACGGGAGGCAGCAGUGGGGAAUAUUGGACAAUGGGCGGAAGCCUGAUCCAGCAACGCCGCGUGAGGGAUGACGGCCUUCGGUUGUAACCGUCUUUCAGUACCGACGAAGCGCCGAUGAUGGUGGUGACGGUAGGUAC